AUGGCGGCGAGAGUAGAUCCGACGAUCGAGGUGAAGGUUUUCGUGGACAAGGAGAGGAGCAGGGUGAUCUUCGCGGAGUCCGGCAAGGAGUUCGUCGAUGUGCUCUUCGGCUUCCUCACGCUGCCUCUCGGCACCGUCGUUCGCCUCCUCGGCAAGCAGUCGCAGGUCGGACGCCUCGACGAGCUGUACAAGAGCGUGAAGGGACUCUCCGCCGAUUUCUUCAGAACUGGAGCCUGCAAGGCGAUGCUGCUCAAGCCCAUCAACGCUGCCGCGCAGCAAUGCUGUCAACUCAGUGUCAGAGUCGACGGCACCAAGCGCGACGGGGAGAGGCCGGAGAGCUCUGCUGCAGCUGCUGCUGGUUCCGAUGCCGGGGUUUUUGUCAAGGGAGACGUGAAGUUCAUCGUCACCGAUGAUUUCCAUGUGGCACCGGCAUCGACGUCUCUCAUGCUGUCCCUUUUCGACAAGUUCGAUGUGCAGGAUCCCUCCAGUCUUGAGCAGAGGACUCUCCACCUUUCUUUUUUUGCAAACAAUGAAAGUGUAAAUAGGGGUGUCAGUGGUAUUUUUUGUAGCAAGUCUUGCAGCAACAGCCCCCGACAGCGCCUCCAGCACCCCCGGGCGAAAGAGGAGUUGAUCACCCCACUGCAGAGCCUCCCUACCCUCCUGGCCGACCGGGUUAGGCUGGGACGCUACAGGAAAACGACCCUCCUGGUCAACCUGCAGCGCCCCCUUGGUGUGCACCCUUCUGGCCGCCAAUCCUUGGCCCUCCUGGCCAAGGCUAGCGCGCUCGAGUGGCCCGUGAUCCAGAUGAUUAGCCUGCUUAAGAGAUCAUUAACGUCCAACAACGCUUUAACUGCUCACUACUUCGAUACUGCUAUCGCGUCCGAUGAUUCCGCCAUUGAUAUUCUCACCGAGAACAUGUAUCCUGAACAAGGAAAUGAUGCCGAUCCCAACCUGAACGAUGUCAAGAUAAAGGUUCUUCAGACGAAGAACAACUCAUCGGUGCUGUAUGCAGAAGUUGGUGCCAAUUUUGUGGACCUUCUCUUUGGCCUACUUUGCAUACCACUUGGAUCCAUCAUGAAGACAUAUGGCAAGUGCGCUUCAAAAGGAUGUGUUGACAAUCUGUACGGCAACAUAUAUAGAUGGCAGUGCUCAAGAAUGCAUGAGAUCAGAAAGCCGGAUCUCGCUAAUGUCCCCAAAGUUGGCACCCUUCUUUGGUUGCAGCACUAAACCACAGACCAUCUUGGACGCGAUCCAAAAUCACCAAAUGGAGAACGUGACAGUGGAGAAGGGUAUGUGAAGCGGGAGCCUCGGAAAUUUAUGGUGACCGAUGAUCUGCAAGUUCUUCCUCUGUCCUUGGCAAGCACUCUGCAGGUUGUCAGUGUAGCCAAGACUCAGAGAAAGGACCUCGUGGAGAAAGAAAUCGCUCUCACAAAACCCCAGCAGACAUUAAGUAAACUUCCGAUAAGCCUAAUCGAUGAACCAGCUGUAGACCACGCUGAAGAGCUAGAGCUUCCGCCGAGGUUGUAUCAGAAGUUUGUACAGGAGUGGGAAACUGCAGGACCAAUUCAAUUCUGCACACGAAGUCCAGGCGAUCCAUCUGCCGCUUCAGGUUUCCGCAACCUCCUGCCGCUUGGGCCGCACAACAUAUCCCCAAGACGGCAUUUUUUCGUGGACGGGGAGAAUAGCAGGGUGGUCUUCGCGGAGUCCGGCAGGGAGUUCGUCGACGUGCUCUUCGGCUUCCUCACGCUGCCUCUCGGCACCGUCGUUCGCCUCCUCGGCAAGCAGUCCCAGGCCAGUCCCAUCAACGCUGCGGCGAAGCAGUGCUGUCAACUCAAGGUCAGAGUUGACGACACCAAGCACGGGGAGGUCUAUGUUUGCGCUGACACGAGCUGCUGCGCGUAUGGUGAAGGCGCCUUCAGCUCCGUCCGCGGCGCUGUCUGCAAAUGCGGCAAGGCCAUGUUCCAGCUCGCCGGCCAGAGGCCGGAGAAUGAUGGUAGCACCAGCGCUGCCAGUGGUGGUGAUUCUGAUGUCGGUGUUUUCGUCAAAGAGGACGUGAAGUUCAUCGUCACCGAUGAUUUCCAUGUGGCUCCAGCCUCAACGUCUCUCAUGUUAUCCAUUUUGGACAAGUUUGAAGUUCAGGAUCUCUCCAGUCUUGAGCAGAGGACUCUCCAACUUAGUUCAGACAAGAUGAUUAGCCUGCUCAAGAGAUCAUUAACGUCGAAGAACCCUUUCACUGGUCACUAUUUUGAUCUUGCCAUGGCGCCUGACGAUUCAGUCGCAGAUAUUCUCCCCGGUAACCUGCAUCCUCAACAAGAAAACGAUGCUGAGCACACGCUAAACAAUGUUAAGAUUAAAGUUCUUCAGAUUAGGGACAAUUCAUCUGUGUUGUAUGCUGAAGCUGGUGCCGAUUUUGUGGAUCUUCUCUUGGGAUUGCUGAGCAUACCACUGGGAUCCAUAGUGAAAAGGUAUGGGAAAUGCACAUCAAAAGGAUGUGUUGACAAUCUUUACAGUAGCAUAGAUGGAUGUGCUGAAGGAUUCUUGAGGCCAGGAUGCCAGAUCACGCUACUGUACCCAAAUCUGCCACCCUUCUUCGGUUGCGGCACUAGUAAGAUGCUUCAGGUUGAAGAACUAUCUCCAUAUAAGCAAGAUAUCGAUGGCUGCAUCAAGUGCUUCAAGAUCGGCGGUUUCAGGGAUCUUGCCCGUUGUCACGAACAGGGUUAUGUUUCCGGUUACGGACUGGUAUAUAAAAAUUGCAGCGCUGAUGUAAAGAAAGCAAGCCUUUUUGAGUGUGACCCAAAACUACCAAAGGGAGAAGAAAGUGGCACUGGAGAAGCAUAUGUCAAGCAGGGGCCUCAGAGUUUCAUGGUUACUGACAAUCUACAUGUUCUUCCUCUGUCCUUAGCAAGCAGUCUAGGGGUUAUUAGUGAAGCCAAGGUUCAGAGAAAGGACCUUGUGGAGAAAGAGCUCGCUCUCACAAAACCCCAGGUUAUGGGGUUACUUAAAGCUGCCUUGGUGACUCGCAAAGCUCUCAGCACUGCGCUUCUGCCUCCCAAGGAGCCUGCUCCCAAGAAUAUGAAGAAGCUGCAUCACCAGAGCUUCGGUCUAUAUUAG
Molecule: ribosomal RNA, 3111 nt
Filed under: Triticum aestivum (bread wheat)
Lineage: Eukaryota; Viridiplantae; Streptophyta; Magnoliopsida; Poales; Poaceae
Description: partial small subunit ribosomal RNA
Source: RNAcentral